UCGUCCUGCCUCGUGAUCGUCUUCUCAACCUUCACCGGGCAGGCGGAGAAAAGGGGCGGCCCCGCGAGGACGUGACUCGCGGGGCCGCCCC
Molecule: non-coding RNA, 91 nt
Filed under: Streptomyces sp. AS58
Lineage: Bacteria; Bacillati; Actinomycetota; Actinomycetes; Kitasatosporales; Streptomycetaceae
Description: sodF sRNA
Rfam family: sodF sRNA
About the family: Identified in Streptomyces coelicolor.
Source: Rfam by way of RNAcentral